RNAcentral lists this ribosomal RNA (484 nucleotides) under uncultured bacterium. Its description in RNAcentral is "partial 16S ribosomal RNA". It matches the Rfam family "Bacterial small subunit ribosomal RNA", at positions 30 to 507 of the family's 1533-position model. The record is from RNAcentral.
AUUGAACGCUGGCGGCAGGCCUAACACAUGCAAGUCGAGCGGAUGAAGGGAGCUUGCUCCUGGAUUCAGCGGCGGACGGGUGAGUAAUGCCUAGGAAUCUGCCUGGUAGUGGGGGAUAACGUCCGGAAACGGGCGCUAAUACCGCAUACGUCCUGAGGGAGAAAGUGGGGGAUCUUCGGACCUCACGCUAUCAGAUGAGCCUAGGUCGGAUUAGCUAGUUGGUGGGGUAAAGGCCUACCAAGGCGACGAUCCGUAACUGGUCUGAGAGGAUGAUCAGUCACACUGGAACUGAGACACGGUCCAGACUCCUACGGGAGGCAGCAGUGGGGAAUAUUGGACAGUGGUCGAAAGCCUGAUCCAGCCAUGCCGCGUGUGUGAAGAAGGUCUUCGGAUUGUAAAGCACUUUAAGUUGGGAGGAAGGGCAGUAAGUUAAUACCUUGCUGUUUUGACGUUACCAACAGAAUAAGCACCGGCUAACUUCGUG